GCUUUCGUGGUGUAACUGUAGCAUACUCGGCUCGUAUUCGAGAGAUCCAGGGUUCGAGUCUCGACGAGGGCA
This 72-nucleotide transfer RNA is filed under the name Stegodyphus mimosarum. It matches the Rfam family "tRNA". Rfam says of the family: Transfer RNA (tRNA) molecules are approximately 80 nucleotides in length. Lineage: Eukaryota; Metazoa; Arthropoda; Arachnida; Araneae; Eresidae. The record is from Rfam by way of RNAcentral.